RNAcentral lists this ribosomal RNA (461 nucleotides) under Escherichia coli. Its description in RNAcentral is "bacterial SSU rRNA". It matches the Rfam family "Bacterial small subunit ribosomal RNA", at positions 376 to 854 of the family's 1533-position model. Lineage: Bacteria; Pseudomonadati; Pseudomonadota; Gammaproteobacteria; Enterobacterales; Enterobacteriaceae. The record is from RNAcentral.
CGAAAGUCUGAUGCAGCAACGCCGCGUGGAGGAUGACACAUUUCGGUGCGUAAACUCCUUUUAUAUGAGAAGAUAAUGACGGUAUUAUAUGAAUAAGCACCGGCUAACUCCGUGCCAGCAGCCGCGGUAAUACGGGGGGUGCAAGCGUUACUCGGAAUCACUGGGCGUAAAGAGCAUGUAGGCGGAUUGAUAAGUUUGAAGUGAAAUCCUAUAGCUUAACUAUAGAACUGCUUUGAAAACUGUUAAUCUAGAAUGUGGGAGAGGUAGAUGGAAUUUCUGGUGUAGGGGUAAAAUCCGUAGAGAUCAGAAGGAAUACCGAUUGCGAAGGCGAUCUACUGGAACAUUAUUGACGCUGAGAUGCGAAAGCGUGGGGAGCAAACAGGAUUAGAUACCCUGGUAGUCCACGCCCUAAACGAUGUACACUAGUUGUUGUGAGACUUGAUCUUGCAGUAAUGCAGUUA